Molecule: ribosomal RNA, 230 nt
Filed under: uncultured bacterium
Lineage: Bacteria
Description: partial 16S ribosomal RNA
Rfam family: Bacterial small subunit ribosomal RNA
Source: RNAcentral
UGAGCAAUCUGCCCUUCACAUCGGAAUAACCAUUGGAAACGAUGGCUAAUACCGAAUAUGACUUCGGAUCGCAUGAUCUGAAGUGGAAAGCUCCGGCGGUGAAGGAUGAGCUCGCGGCCUAUCAGCUAGUUGGUGUGGGUAAUGGCCCACCAAGGCGACGACGGGUAGCCGGCCUGAGAGGGUGACCCGGCCACACUGGGACUGAGACACGGCCCAGACUCUACGGGAGG